CAAAACGAGCUAUUUCCAAAUUUUUAUUUGGCUAAAAUAUAUAAAAUUUUACUGUCAAAACUCGAAUUUUCAUUUUUUCUUCCUAUCAUUUAAAAACAUACAGAUGUCACGCCCCGGAUUAUUCGUUUCCCCGGACACGCCCACAAAUCCGUCGUAUAGCUGUACCUAUAAUCACACAACUAGGGGUGGAAACGAGCCGAGCUCGAGCGAGCUUACGUCAGCUCAAAUUCGGCUUGAAAUUAAUUUCGAGCCUAAAUCUAGGCUCAAGCUCGGCUUGAAAUUAAUUCGAGCCGAGCUCGAGCGAGCCUAAUUUCGAGUCGAACCGAGCUCGAGCUCUAAACGAGCCGAUUGAAAUUCUCAACAUUAUAUAAUCAAUAGCUUAAUUUUUAUAGAACAUUACUUACAAUUUGAUGCAAUAUGUCCAAUAGUUCAAAAUACAAAAUAAUUGCAAGAAAUGUGAGCUAGGGUGACUGCCUGACUGGGUGAGGGUCUGAGAGAGAGAGAGAGAGGGGGGGGGGGGGAAGGGAAAUUAGGGAUUUGAAAAUUUGAAUGUUAUCAUAUUUUAGGGUUAUGUGCAACAGUGAAAGUCUAAAAGAGAGAGUGUGUUAUGUAAAUUUAAAGUUGGGCUGAAUUGCACGGUUGUACUUGUUGGGUUUAUUUUAUGGGCCAAUAAUAAUGGCCCAAAUUAAAUUAAAAUACAUUAUAAAUAAAUAAAUAUAUAUAUAUAUAUAUAUAUAUAGAGAGAGAGAGAGAGAGAGAGAGAAUUAGGCUGGAAUACUAUUAAUAGUAAAAUGCUCUUUUUGCUAUCAAGUUUUUAACCCUUGGAUGAAAAAUUGUAAGGUCGGAACGAUAUUAGUCGGUUAGAGUUGAGUGGUCCUCCUAGGGUUGAGUGGUCCCACUGGAUUAUAGUAUUUAAUCCAAUAGUUAGAAAUAAUGAAAAGAGUUGAUCCAAAGGCUAAAAAACUGGUAGCAACAAUGGAAUUUUGCUACUAAUAGUAGCCCAGUCCAACUAUAUAUAUAUAUAUUCGAGCUUUUCGAGCUUUUCGAGCCUGAUUCGAACGAGCCAAGUAAUACUCAAGCUCGGCUUGAAAUGAAUUUCGAGCUUUUUAUUUUGUUCAAGCUCGGCUCAUUUAAUUUCGAGUCGAGCUCGAGCGAGCCGAAUAUCGAGCCGAACACGAGUCGAACGCGAGCCGGCUUG
This 1198-nucleotide long non-coding RNA is filed under the name Ananas comosus (pineapple). RNAcentral's name for it is "long non-coding RNA (ACOM_LNC027664)". The record is from RNAcentral. Lineage: Eukaryota; Viridiplantae; Streptophyta; Magnoliopsida; Poales; Bromeliaceae.